This is a non-coding RNA of Candidatus Saccharibacteria bacterium 47-87, 60 nucleotides long. Lineage: Bacteria; Candidatus Saccharimonadota. The record is from Rfam.
ACUAUGAACCACUAGGUUCCUCUAUGCGCUGCAAGUUCGGGCGUGCCGAACCACUCACGC